GGCGUGCCUAAUACAUGCAAGUCGAGCGGACAGAAGGGAGCUUGCUCCCGGAUGUUAGCGGCGGACGGGUGAGUAACACGUGGGUAACCUGCCUGUAAGACUGGGAUAACUCCGGGAAACCGGAGCUAAUACCGGAUAGUUCCUUGAACCGCAUGGUUCAAGGAUGAAAGACGGUUUCGGCUGUCACUUACAGAUGGACCCGCGGCGCAUUAGCUAGUUGGUGAGGUAACGGCUCACCAAGGCGACGAUGCGUAGCCGACCUGAGAGGGUGAUCGGCCACACUGGGACUGAGACACGGCCCAGACUCCUACGGGAGGCAGCAGUAGGGAAUCUUCCGCAAUGGACGAAAGUCUGACGGAGCAACGCCGCGUGAGUGAUGAAGGUUUUCGGAUCGUAAAGCUCUGUUGUUAGGGAAGAACAAGUGCAAGAGUAACUGCUUGCACCUUGACGGUACCUAACCAGAAAGCCACGGCUAACUACGUGCCAGCAGCCGCGGUAAUACGUAGGUGGCAAGCGUUGUCCGGAAUUAUUGGGCGUAAAGGGCUCGCAGGCGGUUUCUUAAGUCUGAUGUGAAAGCCCCCGGCUCAACCGGGGAGGGUCAUUGGAAACUGGGAAACUUGAGUGCAGAAGAGGAGAGUGGAAUUCCACGUGUAGCGGUGAAAUGCGUAGAGAUGUGGAGGAACACCAGUGGCGAAGGCGACUCUCUGGUCUGUAACUGACGCUGAGGAGCGAAAGCGUGGGGAGCGAACAGGAUUAGAUACCCUGGUAGUCCACGCCGUAAACGAUGAGUGCUAAGUGUUAGGGGGUUUCCGCCCCUUAGUGCUGCAGCUAACGCA
This 836-nucleotide ribosomal RNA is filed under the name bacterium. RNAcentral's name for it is "bacterial SSU rRNA". It matches the Rfam family "Bacterial small subunit ribosomal RNA", at positions 41 to 859 of the family's 1533-position model. The record is from RNAcentral.